This 256-nucleotide ribosomal RNA is filed under the name uncultured prokaryote. RNAcentral's name for it is "partial 16S ribosomal RNA". It matches the Rfam family "Bacterial small subunit ribosomal RNA", at positions 524 to 780 of the family's 1533-position model. The record is from RNAcentral.
CACGUAGGGGCGAGCGUUGUCCGGAAUUACUGGGCGUAAAGGGCGCGCAGGCUGUUAUGCGAGUCUGCUGUGAAAUGUACCGGCUCAACCGGUGCCUUGCGGCGGAUACUGCAUAGCUGGAGUACUGGAGAGGGAAGUGGAAUUCCCGGUGUAGCGGUGAAAUGCGUAGAUAUCAUGUGGAACACCGGAGGCGAAGGCGAGUCACUGGAACGGAUCUGACGCUGAGGCACGAAAGCGUGGGGAGCAAACAGGAUUA